GUGGGGAAUAUUGCACAAUGGGGGAAACCCUGAUGCAGCGACGCCGCGUGAAGGAAGAAGUAUUUCGGUAUGUAAACUUCUAUCAGCAGGGAAGAAAGUGACAGUACCUGACUAAGAAGCCCCGGCUAACUACGUGCCAGCAGCCGCGGUAAUACGUAGGGGGCAAGCGUUAUCCGGAUUUACUGGGUGUAAAGGGAGCGUAGGUGGCGAUGCAAGCCAGAAGUGAAAACCCGGGGCUCAACCCCGAGGACUGCUUUUGGAACUGUGUUGCUGGAGUGCAGGAGAGGUAAGUGGAAUUCCUAGUGUAGCGGUGAAAUGCGUAGAUAUUAGGAGGAACACCGGUGGCGAAGGCGGCUUACUGGACUGUAACUGACACUGAGGCUCGAAAGCGUGGGGAGCAAACAGGA
This 407-nucleotide ribosomal RNA is filed under the name uncultured bacterium. RNAcentral describes it as "bacterial SSU rRNA". It matches the Rfam family "Bacterial small subunit ribosomal RNA", at positions 354 to 777 of the family's 1533-position model. The record is from RNAcentral.